UGGGGACCAUCUCCUUUUGGUGUUUUUACUAAUAAGAGUGAGUGAGGGCUACUUGGUUAGUAAACUAUUCUCAAAUGUCACAUUCUCACUCUGGUUUAUUAAGGUAGGUUUGGAAGUUAUCUCUGCCUCCAAAAAAGUAGAAUUUUCUUCUGGAUCCUUGUUAGAAAUAGGCUCAAAACUAGAUAUGUUAGCUGCUUGGUUUAUAAUCCAAAUGUAUCUCCUCUUUGUUCUUUUUGUCUAUCUGCGCCAGAUUCCAUUGAUCGCAUUUUUAUGCAGUGUUGUUCUACGUAUGAAGUUUGGAGAUUAGUUGCAUUCAGUUUGUACACCUCAGAACGCUACAGAAUCUCCCACUAGAUGUGUCCUUGUUUCUUUGGUCUAUUUGGCAUUCCCGUUACCAAUUAGUCUUUCAACAAUUGGUUGCUUCCCAGGACAAAACCCAAUUAUUGUAAAGGCCAAUCCUAAAUUACCUAAGCUAUAAGUUUCCAAGUAGUUUCAUACUAAACGGGAACAUCCUGAUGCUCCUCUUGUUAAACUCAAUUUUGAUGUUCAGUUCAAAAGGGAGAGGCUUCUAUAGGUUUUGUGCCUAGUAGGGAUGCUGAUGGUAACUCUCUUUGCGCAGCUGCUAAGAGGAUAGAAAACACAAAUGUCCUCAUUGCAGAAGCUACUGCCUUACGAUAAGGAUUGCAUACAGUUUCUUUACAACAACGUCCCCAUUUGUGGAAGGAAGUCCAAAGAUCACACACUAUUCAGAGAAUUAUUACAUAGUUUACCUAAAGCAGUGCAGUAUGUAUUGCCCUUUUAGUCUGCUUAAAAGAUUGCAACACCAAAACUAUGUAAUAUAUACUCUACAAUUUACCUAAUAACAAAGAUGUUAACAAGGUAGAUAGGUAACAAGUUCUGGCAUUCCUACAAGCAGAAAGAAGAUCUAAAUAAGAAAACUAAGUGCUAAAGUGAAUCAUCCCCCCGGUGACGCAAGACUCCAUAAUAUCUAAAGCCUAGACCCCAAGUCUUGGGUACCUGUUAUGGCUAUUUUGCACCAGAACAGAAAGAAAAGUAGUAUAUAUAACUCCACCGCAAUACUGGGCAAGUAACUAAAAGAGUAACGAUCACUAGGUAUACAACACGACACAACACAACAAGGGUUUUUGUGUUUUGAUGUAUCUGGUAGGCUGACACAAAUGGACAGUCAUUGAACCAAAAAAACUCAUUAGAAGCUUUCUAGUAUGAUCCCUAGAAGAUAGAUAGAUAUACUGAAAAGCCAAUAACCCUCAUCUGGUUCUCAAAUGUAUAACUCAAUUCCCACAUCACCAAAAACAUCGUUUUAACCACCAAAUCAGUAAAACUCACACUCCAUAGCUUCUUCAACAUAUUUCGAACUACAACUAAGCAAACUCGCAAAAGUAAUGCAAGAUUUCCUGAAAAUCCCAAUACAACCACUCUCAUCACUACCACAUGAUAUCAAACCCAUGGAUCCUUUAUAGUUUAUGAAUAAAACAAUAUCAAACUAGUGAACCCAUCAAAACCCAGAUCCUCCUAAAAGUGAGAACAAACCCUAUUUUUGGCACUAUGAAUUACAGUUCAGAAAAGAUGAUGGAAACAAUGUAAGAUGCUCCAAAGACAAUCAGUAGAUAAAUGUAUAACUUCUCUGAUGCAAAAUAAUAAGAAACAAUGCCAACGCAAAACAACAUCUUCUUUUCAACACAGAAAGAAGAUAUGAAUAAGAAAACCAAGUGAUGAAGUGAAUCAUCCCGUGGUGAAGUGGUGAUGCAAGGCUCCACAAUUUCCUAAAGCCUAGACCUAAUCACUUGAGUACCACUUAUGAUUAUUUAGCUCCAGUCCAGAAAGAAAAGUAGUAUAAAACUAUAAAUAACUCCACAUCAAUACUGGACAAGUAACACCACUUUAAACGAAGUAAUGGUUAUUAGUUAUACAACACAACUGAGUGUUUUGUUGUUUUGAUGUAUGAAUGUAUUUAGUUUGGUACAACUGGAGACACCUAUUCCUUGGACCUAGAUAACUGACAUUAAAAACUUUCUGGUAUGAUCUUCCUUAGAAAAUAGAUUUUGAAAAGCCAGUAAUCCUUAUCUGGUUCUCCUACUGUAAUCUACUACGAACUAAAUUCGCACUUCACCCAAAACACAACUGAGUGUUUUGUUGUUUUGAUGUAUAAAUGUAUCCAGUAGUUUGGUACAACUGGAGACACCUAUUCCUUGGACCUAGAUAACUGACAUUAAAAACUUUCUAGUAUGAUCUUCUCUAGAAAAUAGAUUUUGAAAAGCCAAUAACCAUCAUCUGGUUCUCCAACUGUAAUCUACUACGAACUAAAUUCGCACCUCACCCAAAACACCACUUCAACCACCAAAUCAUUGAAAUUCACACUCCACUUCAACCACCAAAUCGAAGGCAACUCAUAAAUUACAAUUUAAGAAACGAGAGAACUUUGAGAAAUUACCUGAAAUGGAAAUGGGUCUCUCAUCUUUCUCCCUUCUCUCUCUCACUCUCAACAAUAUUGUCUUUCCGUGGCAGCAAAACCAAUUAAUCCAAGGCAACAGAACUAAUAAAUCCAAUCCAAAGCAUGAAUUUUCUCCCUU
Molecule: long non-coding RNA, 2591 nt
Filed under: Fragaria vesca (wild strawberry)
Lineage: Eukaryota; Viridiplantae; Streptophyta; Magnoliopsida; Rosales; Rosaceae
Description: long non-coding RNA (FVES_LNC003060)
Source: RNAcentral